This 471-nucleotide long non-coding RNA is filed under the name Elaeis guineensis (African oil palm). RNAcentral describes it as "long non-coding RNA (EGUI_LNC070118)". The record is from RNAcentral. Lineage: Eukaryota; Viridiplantae; Streptophyta; Magnoliopsida; Arecales; Arecaceae.
CUAUAGUGGAUCAACUGUCGCCAACAUCCACUACAAGGGCUUAUUGAGAUCAUGUUUAUGUGUCAGUCAAACUUCACCAGUGUCAUUGUGAGCAGUCACACCAUCACAGGUCAAAGAACCAUUCACACAACUAUAGCAUCGAGACAUUCACUGAGAUCAAAUAGAAAUCCAAGUAAUCUCUCGUAUGGUCACACUCAGUACUAGUUGUUCUCUAACAACUACCUACACUCGUCGCUCAAUAUCUCUACACUGUAGACCAGAGACUCAUCUACCCCGAAGGAAGUGAUCUGUGUAUCGAUCUAUCCAGGUCGAUCACUGUCCUCAUGAUGAUACUAUGAUCGAGAGUAUUUAAGAAUUAACUACAUGUCUCUAAUUCUCAAUAUUUUAAAAAUAUGUAUUGAAAUGUUAAUUUUAUAGGCGAUUCAAGCACAUAUCACAUUUGAAUAAAAAAUAAACUUGUCCUUUUAUUGA